RNAcentral lists this ribosomal RNA (403 nucleotides) under Fusobacteriota bacterium. RNAcentral's name for it is "Fusobacteria bacterium partial 16S ribosomal RNA". It matches the Rfam family "Bacterial small subunit ribosomal RNA", at positions 355 to 776 of the family's 1533-position model. Lineage: Bacteria; Fusobacteriati; Fusobacteriota. The record is from RNAcentral.
UGGGGAAUAUUGCACAAUGGGGGAAACCCUGAUGCAGCGACGCCGCGUGAGCGAAGAAGGUUUUCGAAUCGUAAAGCUCUGUCCUAUGGGAAGAUAAUGACGGUACCAUAGGAGGAAGCCCCGGCUAACUACGUGCCAGCAGCCGCGGUAAUACGUAGGGGGCAAGCGUUGUCCGGAAUCACUGGGCGUAAAGGGUUCGCAGGCGGAAAUGCAAGUCAGUUGUGAAAGGCAGAGGCUCAACCUCUGUAAGCAAUUGAAACUGUAUUUCUUGAGAUGUUGAGAGGCAAGUGGAAUUCCUAGUGUAGCGGUGAAAUGCGUAGAUAUUAGGAAGAAUACCGGUGGCGAAGGCGACUUGCUGGACACAAACUGACGCUGAGGAACGAAAGCGUGGGUAGCAAACAGG